Cydia splendana is the source of this 2716-nucleotide long non-coding RNA. RefSeq lists it as uncharacterized. The record is from RefSeq and is a predicted model, not a curated record. NCBI's taxonomy places the organism in Eukaryota, Metazoa, Arthropoda, Insecta, Lepidoptera, Tortricidae. The transcript is spliced from 3 exons.
AGAGGGAGCCACUAAUGUACAACCAAAUAAUGCUCAACCCAAGAAUGUACAGCCCAAUAAUUGGCGUCCAUGGUGGACGCGUAUUAUUGGGCUGUACAUUCCUGGGUUGAGCAUUCUCGGUCCGCGCAAGAUUGGUCCGGGGCGAUAAUACGAAGCCACUCUUUUCACAGGGCAAUAAUGUACGACCCCAUAAUUCGCGUCCACUAAUUUGAGUCCCUUGGCUUUCAAUUAUUGGGCUGCGCAUUAUUGGUCCAGGUCGAGAAAGCCCGACCCAAUAAUGUACGACCCAAUAAUUGGAAGCCAAAAACCAGAGACAUUCUUUUUUUUAAGGGAGCUGUCAAAAUUAGUAGGGACGUUCUGACAUUAGCUCUUGACAAUUUAAAAAUAAUCGGUUUUUUCUAGUGCCAUCUUUCAGUGACAUUGACAGUAUUGACACUUGUUGGUUUACAAAUACAAUAAAUGAAUUCUAAUAAAAGAAACAGUAGACUCAGUAGAGGUACGAGGUACUGAAAAAAUAUUAAUUAAUGGAGAAGCCGAAGUUGGAGGAAAACAAGAAGAUUCGAGGAGAAUGGUGUGGCACUUAAUGCCGCCGGGACAGUAACCUAGCUGCAACUCCAACUCUAGGGAAUUGGGCUGAAUGAACGCAACACGUGAUCGACAGCCCACCUGCUUCCUGCCGAGCGUCCCUACACUACCUCUACAUGGAUGCCUCGCUUAUUCUGCUCUACAAAACUUCUGAGCUGAUACAAGCAGCCAGAAUGAGUCUCUGCUGAGUCGCCGGCGCCGGACGUGCGUCGCGCGCCUCGGGCGUCUGACGUCUUCGUGUCAGUCGCCAAUUGCAGGAGAAGAUACGAAUAGUUAGGUAUAAAAGCUACUUUAGUCAACCUCGCCUCAGUACUGUUUGUAUUGACUGAAAUACAAGUAGCAUAUAUGAGACGUUCGGACGUAUCCGUGAAAAUACGAAGUACGAGUAAAGGAAAUUGCACUACAUUUUUAGAACCUAUUCACCUGUCAGUAAAAUAUUGAAAAGGAAUGUUCAUGAGUUUUAUAAUUUUCUUUCCUCCAACAGCUUCACAUGGAGCAAAUGUAAACCUUUUAUGUUAAUAAUAUCAGUAAUGUCAAGGUACAACGCUCUUUAGAUCAUAUUGCCAUUCCUUUUACUCGAGCGGCCUGUGGGUUAACUAUACGAAGCGAGCCUACAAUGCAUUAAAAGUGCAGUAUAACAAUGCAUUCACAAUGCUGUUGGGCUUACCUCGUAGAUGUAGUGCAUCUGGCAUCUUUUGCGAAGCUAGAAGUUUUCUGGCAAUCAUGCGCAAGAAAAUAGUAUCUCUGCUAGGUCGAGUUAGAAGCAGUCCCAAACAUACAUGUUCGAAAAGUAGAACUCCCUUAGAUCGUGUUUCAAUUUAUCGCCUCUCGUUGGCAAUUAAGGUGGUUCGCUUUCCAUACAAAAAACAAUUAAGUACCUAAUAGUGUGUAAUUACUUAAUAUAACGCAAUUGUUUUUUGUAUGGAAAGCGAACCACCUUAACUAUUCGCACAACGUUUUGUAGUUGCAGUAAGUACUUACAUAUGGCCAGUAAAAUUUUCGAAAUAGGUAUGUAUUUACGUACAGUGCUAAUUGCCGCACAUAGAAUAAUUAAAGUUUGAUCAAUCGGAAUAUGUUCAUAAGUCACUUAUUACAUUUCGAUUUAUAAGUCUGUAUUUUCCAGCUUUAGAUGUGCAUGACUGCAUAUGCACAUCUAAAGCUGAAAAAUGCUUUCAUGAAUACGUUUAUAAUUAUGGCUAAAUUAUGUUAAUAGGGACAAAUGUAUCAUUUUCAACCAAAGGGGUACUUAUUAUCUGUUGUCAAUAAGGCGCUAAGUAUUUCCAUAAAGCUUCAAUUUGAAAUCAGCCUCGUCGACAACCGACAAUGUUAACCUUUUGGUUGAAAACGUCACAAAUUAUGGCGAUAGAGAAUACAAUGUUCUGUUACCAGAGUGCAGCACUAGUAAAACCCGUAAACGAGUGAAUUGCAAAAAAGUGUAGGUAACACAAUGGAAUAUUCACAAAAAUAUGCAAGAAUGUAACACAAAAUGAAGAAAAUGUAUGUGUUUUUUUUUGUGUUACGUCACACAAAGGAAGCCAAAAUCGACGCCGCAAUAUUUUUCACGACGUGUAGAAUAAAAGUGGCGUCGAAUUCAGGAAUCCGCAAAUACCAUACCGAUAGCCAAGUAAUUUAUCUAUAGAACAAUGUUAAAACAGUAGUAGAAACGGUUAGUUUUGCAAACUUUUAGUAGAUUGGUUUGGUUUUGGUAGAUCUCUCGGUUUGGCAUGCUUGAUGCUCUUCACAUCACCACAGACGGAGGUCGACAGUUCGAAUCUGUCUUGUUCAACCAAUUGAUGGAGGCACAUGCACGCAUACGAACUACAUAUUACACUACCAUCCUGGAGCUAAUUGGAUUAUUUGCAUCUACUAUUAUAGUAUAUACCUAUGCCUUAUUUUUACGCCUAAGACCCUAUAAGCUUUUAACAAAAACCAUUAUUUCUUUUAUACCUACGGGCGGUUUAGCUCCCGUACCUACCUCUAUUAUACCUAGCCACGUGCUAAAGCAACAAUGUCCUUUAAAUCCGUAUCCUGUAUCGUGAUAGUAUUAAGAUUCAACUCGUCUACAUUGAGAUGGUCGAACGUCCUAAAUACAUUACCAAAACAUGUUAACUCGUAUGAGCUGUUACAUAGA